GCACUCGUGGCGGAACGGCAGACGCGCUACCUUGAGGUGGUAGUGUUAAUUCGUGUGGGUUCAAAUCCCGUCGAGUGCACCA
Molecule: transfer RNA, 82 nt
Filed under: Mycoplasmataceae bacterium
Lineage: Bacteria; Bacillati; Mycoplasmatota; Mollicutes; Mycoplasmatales; Mycoplasmataceae
Description: tRNA-Leu
Rfam family: tRNA
About the family: Transfer RNA (tRNA) molecules are approximately 80 nucleotides in length.
Source: RNAcentral